CUUGGCUGGGCGUGGUGGUUCACGCCUAUAAUCCCAGCAUUUUGGGAGGCCAAGGCAGGCGGAUCACAAGAGAUGGUGUUUUGCUAAGUUGCCCACACUGAUCUCAAAAUCCUUUUGUUUUUGCUUUGGAAUGGUCUGGAACUCCUGAGCUCAAGUGAUCCUCCCACCUUGGCCUCCCAAAGGCCUGGGAUUACAGGUAUGAGCCACCGCACCAAGCCCAGGUUGAGCUUUUAAGGUAUUAAAGAUCCACUAGGUGAAAAAAAAGAGUGAAAGAUACAUAUGCCAUUUAAGGGAAGCACAGGAAAACUCCUAUUUUGUUUAUAUGUGAAUAGAGGCACAUAGAUGCCUAGAAAAGUGUCUGGGAGGGAAUGAAACCAGAUUGGCCACAAAAAUCACCUCUGGAAAAAGGAAAAGAAUGGGGACUUUCACUUUUUGCUUCAUAUGUUUCAUGUACCUUUUUUUUUUUUUUUUUUUUUUUGAGAUGGAGUUUCACUCUUAUUGCCCAGGCUGGGGUGCAGUGGUGCGAUCUCAGCUCACUGCAACCUCUGCCUCCUAGGUUCAAGCGAUUCUCCUGCCUCAGCCUCCCGAGUAGCUGGGAUUACAGGCAUGCGCCACCACGCCCGGCUAAUUUUUUGUGUUUUUAGUAGAGACGAGGUUUCUCCAUGUUGGUCAGGCUGGUCUCGAACUCCUGACAUCAGGUGAUCCGCCCACCUUGGCCUCCCAAAGUGCUGGGAUUACAGGCGUG
RNAcentral lists this long non-coding RNA (745 nucleotides) under Homo sapiens (human). RNAcentral's name for it is "HSALNT0124234". The record is from RNAcentral. Lineage: Eukaryota; Metazoa; Chordata; Mammalia; Primates; Hominidae.